GGUGAACGGUGAUACGACGGACUCAUGAUCCGUCGGCCGUGGGUUCGAGUCCCAC
This 55-nucleotide transfer RNA is filed under the name Streptomyces sp. CNZ306. Its description in RNAcentral is "tRNA-Met". It matches the Rfam family "tRNA", at positions 9 to 63 of the family's 71-position model. Rfam says of the family: Transfer RNA (tRNA) molecules are approximately 80 nucleotides in length. Their secondary structure includes four short double-helical elements and three loops (D, anti-codon, and T loops). Further hydrogen bonds mediate the characteristic L-shaped molecular structure. tRNAs have two regions of fundamental functional importance: the anti-codon, which is responsible for specific mRNA codon recognition, and the 3' end, to which the tRNAs corresponding amino acid is attached (by aminoacyl-tRNA synthetases). tRNAs cope with the degeneracy of the genetic code in two manners: having more than one tRNA (with a specific anti-codon) for a particular amino acid; and 'wobble' base-pairing, i.e. permitting non-standard base-pairing at the 3rd anti-codon position. The record is from RNAcentral. Lineage: Bacteria; Bacillati; Actinomycetota; Actinomycetes; Kitasatosporales; Streptomycetaceae.